Molecule: ribosomal RNA, 345 nt
Filed under: uncultured Anoxybacillus sp.
Lineage: Bacteria; Bacillati; Bacillota; Bacilli; Caryophanales; Anoxybacillaceae
Description: bacterial SSU rRNA
Rfam family: Bacterial small subunit ribosomal RNA
Source: RNAcentral
GGUGGUGCAUGGUUGUCGUCAGCUCGUGUCGUGAGAUGUUGGGUUAAGUCCCGCAACGAGCGCAACCCUCGACCUUAGUUGCCAGCAUUCAGUUGGGCACUCUAAGGUGACUGCCGGCUAAAAGUCGGAGGAAGGUGGGGAUGACGUCAAAUCAUCAUGCCCCUUAUGACCUGGGCUACACACGUGCUACAAUGGGCGGUACAAAGGGUCGCGAACCCGCGAGGGGGAGCCAAUCCCAAAAAAGCCGCUCUCAGUUCGGAUUGCAGGCUGCAACUCGCCUGCAUGAAGCCGGAAUCGCUAGUAAUCGCGGAUCAGCAUGCCGCGGUGAAUACGUUCCCGGGCCUU